AUCAAAGCUUGCGACUGCUUAUGGAGUGGCCCGAGAGGGAAAGCCAGCACCCACAUAAGCCAACAGCUGACAGUCACCCAAGAAGCUGACACCCUGCCCAGACAGCACGGACCUUCCACUCACUCUUAGACAACCAGCCAGAUGAGUAUAUACUGCCACAGCUACCCUGAAAUGGACUUCCAUCAGUUAAACCAGCGAACGAUAACUGGCAACUAUAACAGCUGACUGUGCACUUUGAUUUCUCAAGCUUGUGGGAAAUUGUGCGGAUAGGACUGUAAAAACAUGGACUCAACGCCAGAAAAAUUCUUUG
This is a long non-coding RNA of Aplysia californica (California sea hare), 310 nucleotides long. RefSeq lists it as uncharacterized. NCBI's taxonomy places the organism in Eukaryota, Metazoa, Mollusca, Gastropoda, Aplysiida, Aplysiidae. The transcript is spliced from 2 exons. The record is from RefSeq and is a predicted model, not a curated record.